Molecule: ribosomal RNA, 305 nt
Filed under: uncultured bacterium
Lineage: Bacteria
Description: bacterial SSU rRNA
Rfam family: Bacterial small subunit ribosomal RNA
Source: RNAcentral
CCUACGGGAGGCAGCAGUGGGGAAUAUUGCGCAAUGGGGGAAACCCUGACGCAGCAACGCCGCGUGAGUGAAGAAGGCCUUCGGGUUGUAAAGCUCUUUAAUCAGGGACGAAGAAUGACGGUACCUGAAGAAUAAGCUCCGGCUAACUACGUGCCAGCAGCCGCGGUAAUACGUAGGGAGCAAGCGUUAUCCGGAUUUACUGGGUGUAAAGGGCGUGUAGGCGGGCCUGCAAGUCAGAAGUGAAAUCUGGGGGCUUAACCCCCAAACUGCUUUUGAAACUGUGGGUCUUGAGUGAUGGAGAGGCA